Anas platyrhynchos (mallard) is the source of this 4005-nucleotide non-coding RNA. Lineage: Eukaryota; Metazoa; Chordata; Aves; Anseriformes; Anatidae. The record is from RefSeq and is a predicted model, not a curated record.
AGGACCCGGGAGCCGCCGCCGGCCUCCCCGCGGCAGCCACUCGGGGUGGAGGCUGCGCGCCUGCGCCUCUCCUCUGCUGCCUCCAGCGGGAGGCCGCGCCGGGCUCCGCCGCUCGGGGGGCGCCGGGGCUGUGGCAGCAUGCUGCUGUGCCACACGUUAGUAUGAGCUGCACAAUAAGCAGAAGUAAAACCUCCACAUCCUGCAGGUCAUUUAAAUUGGAUUCUGUAUGAAGAGUCAUCUGCAAGGUGGGUGCUGCCACUAAGAGUCUCUGGCCUGCCAUGCCCUCUGCCUUCCCUUUUGACUGUUUGCUCUGGCUCAAAAGAUUCUGUCGUUAAGAGCAUCCAGGGACUUACCCUGACUUGUAGCACUGAAGUAACCAGAAGACAAGUAGCAGAUGCAGUUUGUUUAGCAAAAAAAAAAAAAAAACACAAGGGGUAUGGCUAUGCACUUUUUUGUGCUGGAGAGGAUGGUGCAACUGCCUUAGCUUCUUUCAGAAAGCUGACCUGAAAAUUUCAAAAGAAAUACAAGAAAGAAAUCUGCUCUUUGCUCCUGUUGGAAUAAUGCUCACAAGAUUAAUGACCACUAUUGGAGACUAUUAUAAGGCCUUUUCUUUAAAUGUUUACUUCUCAAAACCACAGGAAUAGGCUUUAAAAUUUGUUAACAUUUUAUUUUGAACUUCAUUUGCUACCACCUGUUAUCAGAGGAGGAGUGUAUGUUUGUGGAGGUCUCUCUCAUCCUUUAAUUGCACAACAGGACAAUGCGUAAUAGGUACAGUACCCUUUCGUAUUUCAAAGUGGCUUGGGGAAAAGAAAGGUUUAGAAAUCUUGCAUCUGUUCAGAGAAUGUGCUGUAAACAAUUCAAAUGUCAUAAAAUCUCUCCCUUAUAAAAUGAUUCAUGUAACCUGUCUGGACAGUGGUUGCAGCUAGGAAAAGGAAUGGAACCUUUACUUCCUUAAAGCUACAUAUAAGUUGAGUUAAUUAUACAUAUAAGAGAAAAAUUGUUUUUUUUCUGUCUUCCCUUAAAGCUCUUGGCUCUUACCAAAACCUUGAGCAAGCAGCUCUUAGGCAGAGCACGCUGCUUUUCACGUUGACCACCACCCUCUAGCUGCUUCCCAUCUGUUGUUUGUAAACACCUCAUGUCUUGUGCUGCUGAUGUUGUUAGCUCCUUGCAAAACAAGCUCUAUUUUCUUAUGUUUGCACACUGCUUCAAAGCAGCAGGAAAACUGGCCAGGACUGAAUCCUAUGCAAUGCCAGAAUAUAUUUUUUUUCUUGCUGGGGAUUUCAAUUAGUGAAACUUACCGGAGAUAAACAAACAAUUAUGUUGCAAGCUACAGGACAACAUGCCACAUAUGUACACAGAGAAUGUGUUCAGGUACCUUGCCUAUGUGGGAGAACAACAGGAUGAGCGAGAGAGACCAAAGGAGAAAGCUGGGCUGAGCUUCUAAGAGAGAGGACAGAAGGUGUUAGAGGACCUAGGCAGAAAGUACACUGAUAAAAAUCGCAGGAAGUAUUUUUGGCUCAUUCCUCUGCAGAGCUAGCUGAAGUUCCUCUGGCACUGCUCAGUCCCUAGAAUACCUUUCUUUUCCUUACCAAAGAAAAGCUUAGGGAGAAAGAUUAAUAUCUGAACCCUAAUAACUGCCGCAGAGGAAGAAUCACUCCCUUCACAAUUUUCAGUCUGAGGAACAGAAGGGUUGUUCUGUGCUGCCGUGGCUUCCAAAUGUGGUUCAGUAAGUAUUCCUCCAUUUAAGAAAACAGCCAGUGGACUUGCUUCACUUCAGGGAAAUGACUGUCCUCAACCUUCUGCUCUUUCAAUCAUUGCAUCCUGCUGUGCUUUCUCUACAUACAAGGUGGGAUGGAAGUCUGUCUGGUACUUGCUCAUCCAUGUGAAAAUGGGAUUCUUCUGAAUCAUAGCCCUUCUUUGCAACGUCCUUUAAAAGUAUUGGGCAAAAUUUUGAUUCUUACUCAGGCCCUAUUAUACAAACUCAUGUUGUCUUUAUGAGACUUUUAGUAGACAAAACACGACAAAGUAUCUAUAUCCAACAUUGCGUCAUGGUAAUCUGGAGAUAACUAGCUGUAGAACUGUUGUUCCCAUUUAAAAAAAAAAUAAAAAUUAACCUUUGUUUGCUUAUAAUGUCUGGUUUGCACUACUUUGAAGAUUCUCAGUAUUUAAUUAAGAUUUAAAAGAUACGUGUGAUAUAUUACUUGCUAAACACUUUUUAUCAGAAGAAAUGCUAUUACUUAUAUAUUUUCUAUCUUGUGGGCACAAAGCCACAAGGAGAUAGAAUCAAGAUUUGUUUUAGACACAGUGAUGAUUACAAAAAAAUAUCUCCCACAUCCUAAAGUAGGUAAAGUUUCUAAUUUAUUUAUUUUUCUAUUGACAGAAGUCCAAGAUGAUUCAUCUCUCCAUUUACACCUGCAAAAUGCACAAGAGACUUAUAACUAAGACAUCGCCUGAAGAAAGUUAAUAAGGUUGUUAGUAGUCUGCAUCGCUAAUGAAAAGUCUAUGGAUGAUUCUAGUCUUUUCCUUCAGGUCUUGAUGAAACCUGCAAAUGUCAGAAAGUUGAUUUUUCUGAAGGACCAGCAGCUAUAAGUAAAAAAGAAGAGAAAAAUGGAGAAAAAAAAAUAGAGAAAGACACUGACAAGAACUGCUACUGCUUGUGACUAAUCCGUUGCAAGCUUACAUGUACAGUUGCUUGCAUCUUAAUGGAUCUUUUAACCUAAUUUACUGAGUCUAUUUCUUUUUAAUUAACUUUCAUAAAAGUUCAGGUGUUUUUUCAUGAAGUACACAAAGAUCAGCUAAGAAAGCUAUUAUCAUCUACAGUAGCAAUACAGCAAUGUGGAAUUCAGUUUUUUUUGAUUAAAAAUAGAUGCAUAAAUCAAAAGAAAUAAACCUGAAGUGUCUCACACCCUUUUACACUGUCCUCACUUUUCAGUGACAGUUAAAGAAUGAUAUAAAGAAUUCCUUUUUGUGUUUGCCUGUUCGACAUGACCAGUGCAAAUAAAUCACAUAGGCUUAGGAAGACAGGCAAUUAUCUAUCAGCAGGCUCAUUCAUUUCUAGUCUGUAGGUGGAUGUAGUUUCAAACAGAAAGAAAAUGGCUUUCCGAAAAUCCACAUGCACCUGUUAAUUGUGAGAGAAGCAUAUAUAAUGCUCCAUGUAAAACUGAGAAUGCUACAUUUCAAUAAAAACUGUGAUUUCUCUGUCAGAAAUGCUAUGCACAUUCAGGUUGAAUUAUGCAGCAUACUACUUCUCAAGAUGGUUGUACAUCCUGAUCGAUCAGGUCAAGAGUUACGCAUUACCUAGAGCACACAUCAAGUGGAAUGAUGCUGCAAGAAUAUUUACAUUUUCAAAGCAUUCUGCAUUUUCAAUGACAGCUGAAUGAACCAUCCCUUAAAAAAAAAAGGGAAGGAAAACAAUGAUACUUCAUUAAAUUAAUGAACCUGUUCAAAAGUAUGGAAUGAACAUCUAGCAAAUUAUAAUGAUCAUAGAACUUGCAACAGUAGGUGGUGGGGAAAAAAAAGACUACUGCUAUCCUGUUUUGGAAAUUACUAUGACAGGGAACUAGGUUCCAUUCCAUUUAAAGAUUUCUUCAUGCAAAUUGCAUGAGGCAUUUUCUAAAAAUUGAGUGGAUUUCCAUAAUGGAAUUUUGGCAAAUUAAAUCAAAACAGGUUGCUAUGACAGUUCUUACAAAUAUUUCUAUUUUAGCUUUAUUUUGUAUUAUAAAUAUGUCAAGAUGAAGUCAUUCUUGUCAAAACAAAGUUAUCUUUCCUUUUGGGAAAAAUGUCCAGGCCUUUUCUCAAUGCUCUAAUUUUCCAUAUUCAUCAAAGUCAAGAUGAGGGCUAAUUUCAAAUGCUUUAACAUACAUCUGCAUAAUCAUAAACCCACAUAAACAUAGCUUUAGUCUUAUAAAUGAGCGAUUUCAUUACAUACAGUAUUGUUAGCUUAACUGACUUUCCUUACUGCUCUGUGUAAGAAGUGACUGAAAAAUAAAGGAUAUUUAACAUUGA